This is a long non-coding RNA of Acanthaster planci (crown-of-thorns starfish), 2140 nucleotides long. RefSeq lists it as uncharacterized. NCBI's taxonomy places the organism in Eukaryota, Metazoa, Echinodermata, Asteroidea, Valvatida, Acanthasteridae. The record is from RefSeq and is a predicted model, not a curated record.
UGAACUGCAAUGGCGUGUGUUGCGAAAGAGCCGUGAAAUGUGUCUCGAAUGUUUAAUAGCAGAAUACAGUAAAAUUUGUCGGCUAUUACUACUUUUCCUCGACGAGACAGUCUGAAUUGCGACUUUUAGUGAGUAUGUGUCUUAAAGAACUGAACGUAAAGACCAAAAUGCCGACGCAACCUUCGUCAACACCGUGCGAAUGUCGGAAAAGAAAGCACGUUGAGUGGUUCUCGAGGAAAGCCAGCAAGAAGAUGCACAUUCUUCCCAUUACCUAAGAUGUGUGCAAGACGUCAAAGAUGUUGUCAAACUGACAGGAUAGUGACUUCACAAGCCAUGAGUCAACAUCAUGAGCCACAGACGCAACAUCCAUCGCUAAUGUCUCUACCGGAUUCCUGGACUCUUAAAGAGCGGAUGGACUUAACUUGAGAAAAGGGUAGAUCCAUGGCAUUAGGAGGACAGAAACUGUUCAACUUUGAUUGAUACAUGUGCUUCUCCUCUGUAAAGACAACAUAGUAUGCCAGUUCUCAUUUGGAGUCAAACAACUGAUAUUGUUCUGAGGUUUUUGGCUACUUUUGAUUCAAGCAUUUGCCUGAAAAAUUAAAAGUAACAUGCUUAUUUUAUACAGGGUUAUUUAUGACUAGUGCCAUGGAUUUUGCCCUGUUUAAUUGUGUUGAAACCAGGCACAUAUUAUAUACAAAUACCCGAACCAGACCUUGUUUAAUUAGUUUUAAGAGUUAUACUUUUAUUUUAAGAGUUAUACUUUUAAACAUUAGUUAGUACACAUGCAAAUGUUCCAUCUCAUGAAAUGAAGUGUUUGGUUGCCAUUUACAAAUCAAAGUAAAUCCCCAUUUUUAUCUACUGUUAAUGCAAAGGAAAGCACAUCGUGAACGUGCCUGAAAGCCUUUGAGCAUCCAACAUUUUUUGUUGUCAUUUCUGUGAAAAAUUACAGUGCCCCAGCUCUUUUUAAAGCUCUGUUCUUAUGAACAACAGUUUGAAUUUAUUGUAUUAAUUUAGUCUGGUUCUAAAACAGUAAGGGCAGAUUGGUAUGUGCCUGGUUUCAUUUUAUUGCUUUGAAAUUUAAUUUUCUAAGAUACCGGUAUAGCCUUAUUAUUCAGUUUCUUUUUAUUGAAAUAGCUCAUACAAUCUACAAAUUUUUAAUUAAUUUUAAACAAACCAUGCAAUCUACACUAGCACAUCAUAUGAACUUUUGGUAUUAUGAUUUUAAUUUAAAGGUUCAGUCAUAGCUGGAAUGCAUCGCCUUCGUGCCUGUAUUGGAGAGGAAGCCCUGGCAGUUAUUGCCAGUCAUUACCAAGUAAUUGGAACACUGCCUCACUUGAACUAGUUAAAAUGGGAUACUGAAUCAAAAAUAUGUUCCCGAUUUAAGAUACAUUGGAGGUGUGAUUCAUUUGUGGAACAUAAUAUAUGUAUUUGAAUUCGUGCACCAAGAAAGGAAGUUCUUGAAUUGGUGCCGUCUCUUUUCUUUUCGUUUUUUUGUUAAAAUGAGAUGCACACUUCAGAUGCAACUUAGCAUGAAAAUCUUUGGCAUAAAUUUGUGUACUGUAUGAUGUGCUAGUGUAGAUUUGUGCAAACAUUUGGCUAAAUAAAGUGUACGUUGUCGCUGUCGUGUGAUUUUAUUUCAUAAGUACAUCUGCUGUCUAUUAUUAGACUUCACAACUUGGACUUUUACACACAAAAAGAACACAUAUUUGCUAAAAGCUGUUGUUAACAUGGCGCUGUGUACAAUUUCUAAGCUAUUUGAAAAGGGAAUCCUUUAUUGCGUUAAGCCUAAAAAAAAAGAUCAACAGUAAACAAUCAAAAUACCAAAAUCACCUCUUGAAAUAGACAGCAGAUGUACUGAUUUCCAGGGUAAUGUAUAUUUAAAAAAAACACACUGCACCAUUAAUUCAAAUGCAUAGUACAAGAAACAAACUCGUCACUUUAUUAAAACAAACUUCGAAAAAGCUUGGUGCAGUGUGUGUUUCACAAGGGGAGGGGAAAUGAAUGUGUAGAUUAAAUUUUUUCUGUUCUGUGAUAGCGCCCUCUGUUGCCAUAAAAUUGAUGUAUGUUACAGGGAUAGUGACUGAAUAGAGGGCGCUCUUGUUGGACUUAAAACGGCAUCAAAUAAAGACCAUAGAACUGA